GCUGGGUGUGGUGGCACACGUCUGUAAUCCCAGCGGCUUGGGAGGCGGAGGCAGGAGGAUUGCGAGUUCAAAGCCAGCCUCAGCAAAAGCAAGACACUAAGCAACUCAGUGAGACCCUGUCUCUA
Molecule: small RNA, 125 nt
Filed under: Marmota monax (woodchuck)
Lineage: Eukaryota; Metazoa; Chordata; Mammalia; Rodentia; Sciuridae
Source: RNAcentral